CAGCCGCCGCGGUAAUACGAGGGGGGCAAGCGUUGCUCGGAAUUAUUGGGCGUAAAGGGUGCGUAGGCGGUUUGGCAAGUCUUAUGUGAAAUCUUCGAGCUCAACCCGAAGUCUGCAUGAGAAACUGCCGGGCUUGAGUAUGGGAGAGGUGAGUGGAAUUUCCGGUGUAGCGGUGAAAUGCGUAGAUAUCGGAAGGAACACCUGUGGCGAAAGCGGCUCACUGGACCAUAACUGACGCUGAGGCACGAAAGCUAGGGGAGCAAACAGGAUUAGAUACCCCCGUAGUCCCUGUCUCUUAUAC
RNAcentral lists this ribosomal RNA (301 nucleotides) under uncultured bacterium. RNAcentral's name for it is "partial 16S ribosomal RNA". It matches the Rfam family "Bacterial small subunit ribosomal RNA", at positions 509 to 807 of the family's 1533-position model. The record is from RNAcentral.